RNAcentral lists this ribosomal RNA (473 nucleotides) under uncultured bacterium. Its description in RNAcentral is "bacterial SSU rRNA". It matches the Rfam family "Bacterial small subunit ribosomal RNA", at positions 329 to 793 of the family's 1533-position model. The record is from RNAcentral.
GCUAUCACUCCUACGGGGAGGCAGCAGUGGGGAAUAUUGCACAAUGGGCGCAAGCCUGAUGCAGCCAUGCCGCGUGUGUGAAGAAGGCCUUCGGGUUUGUAAAGCACUUUCAGUUGUGAGGAAGGUAGUGUAGUUAACACCUGCAUUAUUUGACGUUACCUACAGAAGAAGCACCGGCUAACUCCGUUGCCAGCAGCCGCGGUAAUACGGAGGGUGCGAGCGUUAAUCGGAAUUACUGGGCGUAAAGCGCAUGCAGGCGGCCUGUUAAGUCAGAUGUGAAAGCCCGGGGCUUAACCUCGGAAUUGCAUUUGAAACUGGCAGGCUAGAGUCUUGUAGAGGGGGUAGAAUUUCAGGUGUAGCGGUGAAAUGCGUAGAGAUCUGAAGGAAUACCAGUGGCGAAGGCGGCCCCUGGACAAAGACUGACGCUCAGAUGCGAAAGCGUGGGGAGCAAACAGGAUUAGAUACCCUGGUAG